CAAUCGGCCCUUUUCAGGGCCAUUAAACGUUGUUAAAAGGUUUAUU
Molecule: non-coding RNA, 46 nt
Organism: Aedes aegypti (yellow fever mosquito)
Lineage: Eukaryota; Metazoa; Arthropoda; Insecta; Diptera; Culicidae
Source: Rfam